This 70-nucleotide transfer RNA is filed under the name Decapterus macrosoma (shortfin scad). RNAcentral's name for it is "tRNA-Gly". It matches the Rfam family "tRNA". From Rfam's summary of the family: Transfer RNA (tRNA) molecules are approximately 80 nucleotides in length. Their secondary structure includes four short double-helical elements and three loops (D, anti-codon, and T loops). Further hydrogen bonds mediate the characteristic L-shaped molecular structure. tRNAs have two regions of fundamental functional importance: the anti-codon, which is responsible for specific mRNA codon recognition, and the 3' end, to which the tRNAs corresponding amino acid is attached (by aminoacyl-tRNA synthetases). tRNAs cope with the degeneracy of the genetic code in two manners: having more than one tRNA (with a specific anti-codon) for a particular amino acid; and 'wobble' base-pairing, i.e. permitting non-standard base-pairing at the 3rd anti-codon position. The record is from RNAcentral. Lineage: Eukaryota; Metazoa; Chordata; Actinopteri; Carangiformes; Carangidae.
AUCUUUCUAGUAUCAAAGAGUAUAAGUGACUUCCAAUCACCCGGUCUUGGUUAAAGUCCAAGGAAAGAUA